UGGGGAUUAUUGGACAAUGGGCGAAAGCCUGAUCCAGCCAUGCCGCGUGUGUGAAGAAGGUCUUCGGUUUGUAAAGCACUUUAAGUUGGGAGGAAGGGCAGUAAGCGAAUACCUUGCUGUUUUGACGUUACCGACAGAAUAAGCACCGGCUAACUCUGUGCCAGCAGCCGCGGUAAUACAGAGGGUGCAAGCGUUAAUCGGAAUUACUGGGCGUAAAGCGCGCGUAGGUGGUUCGUUAAGUUGGAUGUGAAAGCCCCGGGCUCAACCUGGGAACUGCAUCCAAUACUGGCGAGCUAGAGUAGGGCAGAGGGUGGUGGAAUUUCCUGUGUAGCGGUGGAAUGCGUAGAUAUAGGAAGGAAGACCAGUGGCGAAGGCGACCACCUGGGCUCAUACUGACACUGAGGUGCGAAAGCGUGGGGAGCAAACAGG
This 429-nucleotide ribosomal RNA is filed under the name Pseudomonadota bacterium. Its description in RNAcentral is "Proteobacteria bacterium partial 16S ribosomal RNA". It matches the Rfam family "Bacterial small subunit ribosomal RNA", at positions 355 to 776 of the family's 1533-position model. The record is from RNAcentral. Lineage: Bacteria; Pseudomonadati; Pseudomonadota.